RNAcentral lists this long non-coding RNA (2163 nucleotides) under Chinchilla lanigera (long-tailed chinchilla). RNAcentral's name for it is "lncRNA (ENSCLAG00000026731.1)". The record is from RNAcentral. Lineage: Eukaryota; Metazoa; Chordata; Mammalia; Rodentia; Chinchillidae.
GGCAGCAAGACCAUUUUAUCUGCCUGGGCUCAUGUUCCUUUUCUCAAAGGUCAGUGAGAUAAAUUUAACAAUCAGUAAGUUCCCUUCCAUUCUACCUGUGCAAUGUUAGGAAAUGGAUUUUCACUAAGUGAGGAGCAGUUUUGCAGUAUGGUAAAAGUGAAGGCCAGGAACGAAGAAGCCAUGUACAGAAAACCAGCAACAACAAAAAAGAGAAGACUGGAAGAGAACUUUGGUUCUGGAUACGAAGAAAACACUAGUUCCUUCCUCAUUAAUUAUCCCUGAUGAAAUGCCUACUUCUUUAAAAACCCAUAAUGUCAUAUUUUUGGCACAGUCUACACUUGCUUUGUAUAGAAAGCUGAGUUUGAGAAUCUCACCAACUUUCUCUCUUUAGAAUCAAUCAAUGUUUAGAAAUGCUUAAGGAAGUAUCUAUGUAGCGAUUUUUAACAAGGACCUCACUUAGAUGUUUCAAUGUGGAAUAUUCAACGUGGAAUACACAUUUCUGUGUCAUACCCCACUCCCUUUAAACCUCUGUUGGAAGUACUGGCUUCAGCAAACCAAACUGAGCCGUGUCUCAUAACACCAGGGUCCUCCAGAGAUUUUCUCUUCUUUCCCUCAUUUUCCACUUUCAUAAAGAGAAAUGUGUAUAAGUCCAUUGACUCUUACAUAUCAUGCUUUCUCCCCUUCUAAUAAAAAUGAUCUUGUUUUUUAAGGAGCCAGUGUGGGAUGGGAAUGUACGCAGGACUUGGCUGGUAAACAAGGAGCAGGUGAGGCAAGUGAAGAAGAGAUUAGAGAAACCUGUCUUUCUCCCGCCUCCACUCUCCUGGCUUGAGAAGCUUAUAGAAGGCCAAUGGAUGUCCAAACCCAGGACUUAUUCCCACGCUCUUCUAGAAAGGAGAAUGGUCUUGGAAGAGAUAUCUGGUGUUCCAGACAUCUCUGAUGUCUCAAAGUCAUCACAACAGCGGCACUUUAGGAGCUGCCUAAAGAGGAAUUACCGUCUCCAUUUUACCUGUGGAAAAGGUGAAAUUCAGAAUUCAGAUGGACUGAUUCAAGUGUGAAUCAUCAGAAGAGACUAAGGCAAGAGCUCAUUAUCCAUUAUUUGAUUGCCACAUGUAAAUGAUUUGCCUGAAAUAAUCAAAGAAAAGUAUUUGGAGAAUGAGGGCAUUUAUGACAUGCUUGUCAAAUACACAGAUGCUUGAGGAUUGAGUGCUAGCCUUAUCUUUGUCCUUUGCUAGUUAUGAGAUUUAGACAAGUUACUUAACAUUCCUUAGCCUAUCUUUCAUGGAGAAAUGAGACAGUUAAUUUAAAUGAGAUUUUUCAACUUUUUCUUUUCACUUUAAUGUUAUAAAAGUUGCACUAUACGCAAUCCCACCUUCUACUUAGCCCCCUCCCUGAACACAGUUCAAAAACUAAAGAACUAGGUAAUCUGAAAGCUUCCUUCUGUUCUUAAAUUUACUGUUUUUAUGACUGGAAGUAACUAGUUUUCUAGUCUUCUACUUGUCCGUGUCCUUUACAGUAUCUUCUGGUAUAAAAGAACUCUAGACAUGGAAUUAGAGUUGCUGGGUCCCUGCUGCACCAUGCAAUUAUCUUUCGCCCUCUUAAUUGAGUUGCUUUAUCUCUGUAAGCCUCCAUUUCCUAGUAUUUAAGAUAAAAGUAGUAACCCUUCUCAGGAAACUGCUUUGUAAACUGUAAAAGACUAAAUAAAUGUACAGCGUCAUCAGCACUAUCUCCUGUGCACAACUGCCUUCUCUGUAGGGAGACGGCUUUCUUCUUAGAAUGACUCCAAGUAACAAUGUGGGUUGAGCUGCUCUUUGGCAAACUUGUCUAAGAGGUAAUACUUAUCAUAUUUAUACCUCACCUUUCCUGCUAGGUUGAAGUUAAGUCUGUACAGAGGAUUGGGCUAUUAACACAGCAAAUGAUUAAGCUGAGGAAACAGUGUUAUUAAAUUUAAAGGGAAGAACAGUCCCCAUAAUGCGACCUUGACAUUAACAACCCAGCCACAUUUCUCCCUCUGCACAAAGCCAUGCUCCAGUAAUAAUUAGUUAUUUAUGCAAACUAUACACUGUUUUUCAUGGGUGUGUUCAUUUGUUUGUUUGUUUUGCGAGGUUUGUUUGUUUGUUUGAUACAGAGUCUCACUAUGUAAUCCAGCCUGUCUUCAGACUCACA